AUGAACGCUAGCUACAGGCUUAACACAUGCAAGUCGAGGGGAAACGAUAUUGGAAGCUUGCUUCCGAUAGGCGUCGACCGGCGCACGGGUGAGUAACGCGUAUCCAACCUGCCCAUCACUUGGGGAUAACCUUGCGAAAGUAAGACUAAUACCCAAUGAUAUCUCUAGAAGACAUCUGAAAGAGAUUAAAGAUUUAUCGGUGAUGGAUGGGGAUGCGUCUGAUUAGCUUGUUGGCGGGGUAACGGCCCACCAAGGCGACGAUCAGUAGGGGUUCUGAGAGGAAGGUCCCCCACAUUGGAACUGAGACACGGUCCAAACUCCUACGGGAGGCAGCAGUGAGGAAUAUUGGUCAAUGGACGAGAGUCUGAACCAGCCAAGUAGCGUGCAGGAUGACGGCCCUAUGGGUUGUAAACUGCUUUUAUAAGGGAAUAAAGUGAGUCUCGUGAGACUUUUUGCAUGUACCUUAUGAAUAAGGACCGGCUAACUCCGUG
RNAcentral lists this ribosomal RNA (491 nucleotides) under uncultured bacterium. Its description in RNAcentral is "bacterial SSU rRNA". It matches the Rfam family "Bacterial small subunit ribosomal RNA", at positions 29 to 507 of the family's 1533-position model. The record is from RNAcentral.